UACGUAGGGCGCAAGCGUUAUCUGGAAUUAUUGGGCGUAAAGAGCUCGUAGGCGGUUUGUCGCGUCUGCCGUGAAAGUCCGGGGCUCAACUCCGGAUCUGCGGUGGGUACGGGCAGACUAGAGUGCAGUAGGGGAGACUGGAAUUCCUGGUGUAGCGGUGAAAUGCGUAGAGAUCCGGAGGAACACCGGUGGCGAAGGCGGGUCUCUGGGCCGUUACUGACGCUGAGGAGCGAAAGCGUGGGGAGCGAACAGG
Molecule: ribosomal RNA, 253 nt
Filed under: uncultured bacterium
Lineage: Bacteria
Description: partial 16S ribosomal RNA
Rfam family: Bacterial small subunit ribosomal RNA
Source: RNAcentral